This 484-nucleotide ribosomal RNA is filed under the name uncultured bacterium. Its description in RNAcentral is "partial 16S ribosomal RNA". It matches the Rfam family "Bacterial small subunit ribosomal RNA", at positions 30 to 507 of the family's 1533-position model. The record is from RNAcentral.
AUUGAACGCUGGCGGCAGGCCUAACACAUGCAAGUCGAGCGGAUGAAGGGAGCUUGCUCCUGGAUUCAGCGGCGGACGGGUGAGUAAUGCCUAGGAAUCUGCCUGGUAGUGGGGGAUAACGUCCGGAAACGGGCGCUAAUACCGCAUACGUCCUGAGGGAGAAAGUGGGGGAUCUUCGGACCUCACGCUAUCAGCUGAGCCUAGGUCGGAUUAGCUAGUUGGUGGGGUAAAGGCCUACCAAGGCGACGAUCCGUAACUGGUCUGAGAGGAUGAUCAGUCACACUGGAACUGAGACACGGUCCAGACUCCUACGGGAGGCAGCAGUAGGGAAUAUUGGGCAAUGGGCGAAAGCCUGAUCCAGCCAUGCCGCGUGUGUGAAGAAGGUCUUCGGAUUGUAAAGCACUUUAAGUUGGGAGGAAGGGCAGUAAGUGAAUACCUGGCUGUUUUGACGGUACCAACAGAGUAAGCACCGGCUAACUUCGUG